UGCGGAGGAAAAGAAACCAACAGGGAUUGCCCUAGUAACGGCGAGUGAAGCGGCAACAGCUCAAAUUUGAAAGCUAGCCUUCGGGUUCGCAUUGUAAUUUGUAGAGGAUGAUUUGGGGAAGCCGCCUGUCUAAGUUCCUUGGAACAGGACGUCAUAGAGGGUGAGAAUCCCGUAUGUGACAGGAAAUGGCACCCUAUGUAAAUCUCCUUCGACGAGUCGAGUUGUUUGGGAAUGCAGCUCUAAAUGGGAGGUAAAUUUCUUCUAAAGCUAAAUAUUGGCGAGAGACCGAUAGCGCACAAGUAGAGUGAUCGAAAGAUGAAAAGCACUUUGGAAAGAGAGUUAAAAAGCACGUGAAAUUGUUGAAAGGGAAGCGCUUGCAAUCAGACUUGUUUAAACUGUUCGGCCGGUCUUCUGACCGGUUUACUCAGUUUGGACAGGCCAGCAUCAGUUUCGGCGGCCGGAUAAAGGCUCUGGGAAUGUGGCCUCCACUUCGGUGGAGGUGUUAUAGCCCAGGGUGUAAUACGGCCAGCCGGGACUGAGGUCCGCGCUUCGGCUAGGAUGCUGGCGUAAUGGUUGUAAGCGACCCGUCUUGAAA
This 595-nucleotide ribosomal RNA is filed under the name Aureobasidium pullulans. Its description in RNAcentral is "partial large subunit ribosomal RNA". It matches the Rfam family "Eukaryotic large subunit ribosomal RNA", at positions 49 to 659 of the family's 3401-position model. Lineage: Eukaryota; Fungi; Ascomycota; Dothideomycetes; Dothideales; Saccotheciaceae. The record is from RNAcentral.